This 82-nucleotide transfer RNA is filed under the name Kofleriaceae bacterium. RNAcentral describes it as "tRNA-Leu". It matches the Rfam family "tRNA". From Rfam's summary of the family: Transfer RNA (tRNA) molecules are approximately 80 nucleotides in length. Their secondary structure includes four short double-helical elements and three loops (D, anti-codon, and T loops). Further hydrogen bonds mediate the characteristic L-shaped molecular structure. tRNAs have two regions of fundamental functional importance: the anti-codon, which is responsible for specific mRNA codon recognition, and the 3' end, to which the tRNAs corresponding amino acid is attached (by aminoacyl-tRNA synthetases). tRNAs cope with the degeneracy of the genetic code in two manners: having more than one tRNA (with a specific anti-codon) for a particular amino acid; and 'wobble' base-pairing, i.e. permitting non-standard base-pairing at the 3rd anti-codon position. The record is from RNAcentral. Lineage: Bacteria; Pseudomonadati; Myxococcota; Haliangiales; Kofleriaceae.
GCGCGGAUGGCGGAAUUGGUAGACGCGCUAGCUUGAGGUGCUAGUGGGUAAAACCGUGGGGGUUCGAGUCCCCCUUCGCGCA